This 382-nucleotide ribosomal RNA is filed under the name uncultured eukaryote. Its description in RNAcentral is "partial 18S ribosomal RNA". It matches the Rfam family "Eukaryotic small subunit ribosomal RNA", at positions 592 to 976 of the family's 1831-position model. The record is from RNAcentral.
UGUAAGCGUAUACCAAAGUUGUUGCAGUUAAAACGCUCGUAGUCGGAAUUUGGCAGUCCCGGAUGUGUGCACGUCGUGUGCGCACUUCGCGGGGAUUGCUUUUGUGGUCUUGCGUAGGAUGAGGCACUUUUAUUAGUGAACGUCCUCACGCAACCACUUUUUACUGUGAGAAAAUCAGAGUGCUCAAAGCAGGCAUUUGCCGUGAAUGUAUUAGCAUGGAAUAAUAGAAUAGGACUUGGUUCUAUUUUGUUGGUUUGUUGGGACUGAGUAAUGAUUAAGAGGGACAGUUGGGGGCAUUUGUAUUUCGGUGCUUGAGGUGAAAUUCUUAGAUUACCGAAAGACAAACUGCUGCGAAAGCGUCUGCCAAGGAUGUUUUCAUUGA